CCUACGGGAGGCAGCAGUGAGGAAUAUUGGUCAAUGGGCGCGAGCCUGAACCAGCCAAGUCGCGUGAAGGAUGACUGCCCUACGGGUUGUAAACUUCUUUUAUAAAGGAGUAAAGUGAGGCACGUGUGCCUUUUUGUAUGUACUUUAUGAAUAAGGAUCGGCUCACUCCGUGCCAGCCGCCGCGGGAAUACGGAGGAUCCGAGCGUUAUCCGGAUUUAUUUGGUUUAAAGGGAGCGUAGAUGGGUUGUUAAGUCAGUGGUGAAAGUUUGGGGCUCAACCGUAGAAUUGCAAUUGAUACUGGCAGUCUUGAGUACAGUUGAGGUAGGCGGAAUUCGUGGUGUAGCGGUGAAAUGCUUAGAUAUCACGAAGAACUCCGAUUGCGAAGGCAGCUUACUAAACUGCCACUGACAUUGAUGCUCGAAAGUGUGGGGAUCAAACAGGAUUAGAUACCCUGGUAGUC
This 460-nucleotide ribosomal RNA is filed under the name uncultured bacterium. Its description in RNAcentral is "partial 16S ribosomal RNA". It matches the Rfam family "Bacterial small subunit ribosomal RNA", at positions 338 to 795 of the family's 1533-position model. The record is from RNAcentral.